This 30-nucleotide non-coding RNA is filed under the name Mus musculus (house mouse). The record is from RNAcentral. Lineage: Eukaryota; Metazoa; Chordata; Mammalia; Rodentia; Muridae.
CCUCAGAUUGUACUAUCCAACAUGGCGGGC